RNAcentral lists this ribosomal RNA (531 nucleotides) under uncultured Acidobacteriota bacterium. RNAcentral's name for it is "bacterial SSU rRNA". It matches the Rfam family "Bacterial small subunit ribosomal RNA", at positions 355 to 893 of the family's 1533-position model. The record is from RNAcentral. Lineage: Bacteria; Pseudomonadati; Acidobacteriota.
UGGGGAAUUUUUCGCAAUGGGGGCAACCCUGACGAAGCAAUGCCGCGUGGAUGAUGAAGUAUCUCGGUACGUAAAAUCCUUUCGACGGGGACGAAACCGCAAGGUUGACGGUACCCGUAGAAGAAGCCCCGGCUAACUCCGUGCCAGCAGCCGCGGUAAUACGGGGGGGGCAAGCGUUGUUCGGAAUUACUGGGCGUAAAGGGUGCGUAGGCGGCUCUCUAAGUCGGAUGUGAAAACUCUGGGCUCAACCCAGAGCCUGCAUCCGAAACUGGAGAGCUAGGGGUUCUGGAGGGGAAAGCGGAAUUCCUGGUGUAGCGGUGAAAUGCGUAGAUAUCAGGAGGAACACCGGUGGCGAAGGCGGCUUUCUGGACAGAUACCGACGCUGAGGCACGAAAGCUAGGGGAGCAAACAGGAUUAGAUACCCUGGUAGUCCUAGCCCUAAACUAUGGAUACUUGCUGUGGGGGGGAUUGAAGCCCCUUGUGGCGAAGCUAACGCAUUAAGUAUCCCGCCUGGGGAGUACGGUCGCAAGG